GGGGAGGGAGGCGGGAAGAGCACGGCACUUCCGCUGGCCGCUCCUGGAGGCGGCGGCGGGAGUGCAGGGGGUGCGCGGCCCGGGGACUCGCAUUCCCCGGUCCCCCUCCACCCCACGCGGCCUGGACCAUGGAUGCCAGGUAGGGGCCUCUGCUUUCCCCUGGUGAAAGCUUGUGUGUUUGGCAAUGAGCCCAAGGCCUCUGAUGAGGUUCCCCUGGCGCCCCGAACAGAGGCGGCAGAGACCACCCCGAUGUGGCAGGCCCUGAAGCUACUCUUCUGUGCCACAGGGCUCCAGGUGUCUUAUCUGACUUGGGGUGUGCUGCAGGAAAGAGUGAUGACCCGUAGCUAUGGGGCCACAGCCACAUCACCGGGUGAGCGCUUUACAGACUCGCAGUUCCUGGUGCUAAUGAACCGAGUGCUGGCACUGAUUGUGGCUGGCCUCUCCUGUGUUCUCUGCAAGCAGCCCCGGCAUGGGGCACCCAUGUACCGGUACUCCUUUGCGAGCCUGUCCAAUGUGCUUAGCAGCUGGUGCCAAUACGAAGCUCUUAAGUUCGUCAGCUUCCCCACCCAGGUGCUGGCCAAGGCCUCUAAGGUGAUCCCUGUCAUGCUGAUGGGAAAGCUUGUGUCUCGGCGCAGCUACGAACACUGGGAAUACCUGACAGCCACCCUCAUCUCCAUUGGGGUUAGCAUGUUUCUGCUAUCCAGCGGACCGGAGCCCCGCAGCUCCCCAGCCACCACACUCUCAGGCCUCAUCUUACUGGCAGGUUAUAUUGCUUUUGACAGCUUCACCUCAAACUGGCAGGAUGCCCUGUUUGCCUAUAAGAUGUCAUCGGUGCAAAUGAUGUUUGGGGUCAAUUUCUUCUCCUGCCUCUUCACAGUAGGCUCACUGCUAGAACAGGGGGCCCUCCUGGAGGGAACCCGCUUCAUGGGGCGACACAGUGAGUUUGCUGCCCAUGCCCUGCUACUCUCCAUCUGCUCCGCAUGUGGCCAGCUCUUCAUCUUUUACACCAUUGGGCAGUUUGGGGCUGCUGUCUUCACCAUCAUCAUGACCCUCCGCCAGGCCUUUGCCAUCCUUCUUUCCUGUCUUCUCUAUGGCCACACUGUCACUGUGGUGGGAGGGCUGGGGGUGGCUGUGGUCUUUGCUGCCCUCCUGCUCAGAGUCUACGCGCGGGGCCGUCUAAAGCAACGGGGAAAGAAGGCUGUGCCUGUUGAGUCUCCUGUGCAGAAGGUUUGAGGGUGGAGAGGGCCUGAGGGGUAAAGUGAAAUAGGACCCUCUCACCAUCCCCUUCUACUGUAACCUCUGAGGGAGCUGGCUGAAAGGGCAAAAUGCAGGCGUUUUCUCGGUAUCACAGACCAGCUCUGCAGCAGGGCGUGGGGGAGCCCAGGAGGCAGCCUUCCCUUUUGCCUUAAGUCACCCAUCUUCCAGUAAGCAGUUUAUUCUGAGCCCUGGGGUAGAAUCCUCAGUGAGAGGUUUUGGGGAGUUUGGGGUCCAGAGGACAUAGGUAGGUUCCACAGUUCCCCCUCCCACAAGUUCCCUAAAGUCUUGCCCUAGCUGUGCUCUGCCACCUUCCAGACUCCCUCCCCUCUGCAAAUACCUGCAUUUCUUACCCUGGUGAGAAAAGCACAAGCAGUGUAGACUCCAAUGCUGCUUUCCCAGGAGGGUGAAGUGAAGAUGGUGCUGUGCUGAGGAAAGGGGAUGCAGAGCCCUGCCCAGCACCACCACCUCCUAUGCUCCUGGAUCCCUAGGCUCUGUUCCAUGAGCCUGUUGCAGGUUUUGGUACUUUAGAAAUGUAACUUUUUGCUCUUAUAAUUUUAUUUUAUUAAAUUAAAUUACUGCAGUGGACUUGG
Molecule: small RNA, 1847 nt
Filed under: Pongo abelii (Sumatran orangutan)
Lineage: Eukaryota; Metazoa; Chordata; Mammalia; Primates; Hominidae
Description: processed transcript
Source: RNAcentral